RNAcentral lists this ribosomal RNA (383 nucleotides) under uncultured eukaryote. RNAcentral describes it as "partial 18S ribosomal RNA". It matches the Rfam family "Eukaryotic small subunit ribosomal RNA", at positions 592 to 976 of the family's 1831-position model. The record is from RNAcentral.
CAAUAGUGUAUAUUAAAGUUGUUGCAGUUAAAAAGCUCGUAGUUGGAUUUCUGGUGGGAGCGAUCGGUCUGGCGCUUAGCGCGAGUACUUGCAUCGUCUCCGGCCAUCCUUGGGGAGAGUCUGUCUGGCAUUAGGUUGUCGGGCAGAGGAUCCUCAUCGUUUACUGUGAAAAAAUUAGAGUGUUCAAAGCAGGCUUAUGCCGUUGAAUAUAUUAGCAUGGAAUAAUAAGAUAGGACUUUGGUACUAUUUUGUUGGUUUGCGCACCAAAGUAAUGAUUAAUAGGGACAGUUGGGGGUAUUCGUAUUCCGUUGUCAGAGGUGAAAUUCUUGGAUUUACGGAAGACGAACUACUGCGAAAGCAUUUACCAAGGAUGUUUUCAUUAA